RNAcentral lists this ribosomal RNA (253 nucleotides) under uncultured bacterium. RNAcentral's name for it is "partial 16S ribosomal RNA". It matches the Rfam family "Bacterial small subunit ribosomal RNA", at positions 524 to 776 of the family's 1533-position model. The record is from RNAcentral.
UACGUAGGGUGCAAGCGUUGUCCGGAAUUAUUGGGCGUAAAGAGCUCGUAGGCGGUCCGUCGCGUCGACUGUGAAAACCCGGAGCUCAACUCCGGGCCUGCAGUCGAUACGGGCAGACUAGAGGCAGGCAGGGGAGAGUGGAAUUCCUGGUGUAGCGGUGAAAUGCGCAGAUAUCAGGAGGAACACCGGUGGCGAAGGCGGCUCUCUGGGCCUGUCCUGACGCUGAGGAGCGAAAGCGUGGGGAGCGAACAGG